This 253-nucleotide ribosomal RNA is filed under the name uncultured bacterium. RNAcentral's name for it is "partial 16S ribosomal RNA". It matches the Rfam family "Bacterial small subunit ribosomal RNA", at positions 524 to 776 of the family's 1533-position model. The record is from RNAcentral.
UACAGAGGGGGCAAGCGUUAUUCGGAAUUAUUGGGCGUAAAGGGCGCGUAGGCGGCUUGGCAAGUGGAUGGUGAAAUCCCUCGGCUUAACCGAGGAACUGCCGUCCAAACUGCUUCGCUUGAGACCGGGAGAGGUGAGUGGAAUUCCCAGUGUAGCGGUGAAAUGCGUAGAUAUUGGGAGGAACACCAGUGGCGAAGGCGGCUCACUGGACCGGUACUGACGCUGAGGCGCGAAAGCCAGGGGAGCAAACGGG